GUAAGGAAUAUUGGUCAAUGGUGGGAACACUGAACCAGCCAUCCCGCGUGCAGGACGAAGGCCCUCUGGGUUGUAAACUGCUUUUACCAGGAAAGAAACGAGUGGACUUGUCCGCUCCUGACGGUACCUGGGGAAUAAGCACCGGCUAACUCCGUGCCAGCAGCCGCGGUAAUACGGAGGGUGCAAGCGUUAUCCGGAAUCACUGGGUUUAAAGGGUGCGUAGGCGGCCUGGUAAGUCAGGGGUGAAAGCUUCCCGCUCAACGGGAGAACUGCCCUUGAUACUGCCGGGCUCGAAUUGGGUUGAGGCUGGCGGAAUGUGGCAUGUAGCGGUGAAAUGCUUAGAUAUGCCAUAGAACACCGAUUGCGAAGGCAGCCAGCCAAGCCUUGAUUGACGCUGAGGCACGAAAGCGUGGGGAGCGAACAGGAUUAGAAACCCUGGUAGUCC
This 445-nucleotide ribosomal RNA is filed under the name uncultured bacterium. RNAcentral describes it as "bacterial SSU rRNA". It matches the Rfam family "Bacterial small subunit ribosomal RNA", at positions 354 to 796 of the family's 1533-position model. The record is from RNAcentral.